Molecule: ribosomal RNA, 1407 nt
Filed under: Triticum aestivum (bread wheat)
Lineage: Eukaryota; Viridiplantae; Streptophyta; Magnoliopsida; Poales; Poaceae
Description: partial small subunit ribosomal RNA
Source: RNAcentral
GAGCUUUCUACCGAUAUCAAUGAACGCGCACUAUCAAAUUCAUGCAAUGGGCCAUGUCAAAAUUUCCCUGGAGGCUACAUAUGCACAAGUUGCCCUCAUAGAAAAGAGUUUGAUCCCAUAAAAAGGCAGUGUGUUACAUCGGUGAAGCAACACCAUCUUCUUUUGGGUAUUGCAACUGGAACUGUAUGUGGCCUUGGCUCCAUAAUUAUUGCAAUCUUUGUAGUUUUAUUUGCCAACAAGUGGAAGAAAGGCAUCCAAAAGAGAAUCCGGCGAACACACUUCAAGAAAAAUCAAGGUCUACUCUUGGAACAGCUCAUCACAGAUGACAGCGCCACAAACAAAACAAAAAUAUUCUCCUUGGAGGAGCUAGAGAAGGCAACCAACAACUUCGAUGCCACUCGUGUUCUUGGUCGUGGAGGACACGGUACGGUUUAUAAAGGGAUUCUAUCUGACCAAUGAGUGGUGGCUAUUAAAAAGUCCAAAAUUGUGGAGCAAACUGAGAUAAACCAGUUUAUCAAUGAGGUUGCUAUCUUGUCGCAAAUCAUUCAUCGUAAUGUAGUAAAGCUAUUCGGGUGUUGCCUCAAAUCUGAGGUUCCUUUGCUCGUGUAUGAGUUCAUAUCAAAUGGUACACUACAUGACCUUCUUCACGUUGAUGUUGGUGUUAAAUGCUUGCUGUCAUGGGAUGAUCGUAUUAGGAUUGCAGUUGAAGCAGCAGGGGCACUUGCUUAUCUGCACUCGGCUGCUGCAAUACCAAUUUUCCAUAGAGACGUGAAAUCUUAUAACAUACUAUUUGAUGGCAGCUUCGCUACAAAGAUUUCUGACUUUGGUGCUUCAAGGUUUGUUUCACUCGAUGGAACUCAUGUGGUCACUAUUGUCCAAGGAACAUUUGGUUACCUAGAUCCUGAGUAUUACCAUACUGGACAACUAACUGAAAAGAGUGAUGUGUAUAGUUUUGGGGUAAUACUCGUGGAACUUUUCACGAGGAAAAAGCCAAUUUUCAUCAAUGAUCUAGGUGCAAAACAAAACUUGUCCCAUUAUUUCAUGGAAGGAUUGCAAGAGGGGGAUAUCAUGGAAAUAUUGGAUCCUCGGGUUGUUAAAGAGGCAAACCCAGAAGAGAUCGAUGAUAUUUGCUCACUUAUAGAAGCAUGUUUGAGACUCAAAGGAAGAGAUAGACCUACUAUGAAAGAGGUAGAUAUGAGGUUGCAAUUCCUGAGAACCAAGAUGCUAAGGAAAUGCAAAAUUCUCCCAGCUAGUGAUCAAGAAAUUGAACAUCUGUUAUGCCCAGAGAUUAGCAAUUCCAAUGCACAGAUGAACGUUGACAAUACUGGUAAUUUAACAUCUGAAGGCAUCUCCAGUUGCUACAGUCUAGAGCAAGAACUUUCAUCCUCAGUAACUUUGCCAGGCUAA